RNAcentral lists this ribosomal RNA (468 nucleotides) under uncultured bacterium. RNAcentral's name for it is "partial 16S ribosomal RNA". It matches the Rfam family "Bacterial small subunit ribosomal RNA", at positions 28 to 507 of the family's 1533-position model. The record is from RNAcentral.
GACGAACGCUGGCGGCGUGCUUAACACAUGCAAGUCGAACGGAAAGGCCCUGCUUUUGUGGGGUGCUCGAGUGGCGAACGGGUGAGUAACACUUGAGUAACCUGCCCUUGACUUUGGGAUAACUUCAGGAAACUGGGGCUAAUACCGGAUAGGAGCUCCUGCUGCAUGGUGGGGGUUGGAAAGUUUCGGCGGUUGGGGAUGGACUCGCGGCUUAUCAGCUUGUUGGUGGGGUAGUGGCUUACCAAGGCUUUGACGGGUAGCCGGCCUGAGAGGGUGACCGGACACAAUGGGACUGAGAUACGGCCGAGACUCAUACGGGAGGGAGCAGUGGGGAAUAGUGCAAAAUGGGCGGAAGACUGAUGCAGCAACGCCGCGUGCGGGAUGACGGCCUUCGGGUUGUAAACCGCUUUCGCCUGUGACGAAGCGUGAGUGACGGUAAUGGGUAAAGAAGCACCGGAUAACUACGUG